AGGGAUAUAGCUCAGAGGCACAGUGCCUGCCUGGCAAGCAGGAGGCCCUGAGUUUGAUUCCUAGUACCACAA
This 72-nucleotide transfer RNA is filed under the name Fukomys damarensis (Damara mole-rat). It matches the Rfam family "tRNA". From Rfam's summary of the family: Transfer RNA (tRNA) molecules are approximately 80 nucleotides in length. Their secondary structure includes four short double-helical elements and three loops (D, anti-codon, and T loops). Lineage: Eukaryota; Metazoa; Chordata; Mammalia; Rodentia; Bathyergidae. The record is from Rfam by way of RNAcentral.